RNAcentral lists this ribosomal RNA (496 nucleotides) under uncultured bacterium. RNAcentral describes it as "partial 16S ribosomal RNA". It matches the Rfam family "Bacterial small subunit ribosomal RNA", at positions 28 to 506 of the family's 1533-position model. The record is from RNAcentral.
GAUGAACGCUGGCGGCGUGCCUAAUACAUGCAAGUCGAGCGAACAGACGAGGAGCUUGCUCCUCUGACGUUAGCGGCGGACGGGUGAGUAACACGUGGAUAACCUACCUAUAAGACUGGGAUAACUUCGGGAAACCGGAGCUAAUACCGGAUAAUAUAUUGAACCGCAUGGUUCAAUAGUGAAAGACGGUUUUGCUGUCACUUAUAGAUGGAUCCGCGCCGCAUUAGCUAGUUGGUAAGGUAACGGCUUACCAAGGCGACGAUGCGUAGCCGACCUGAGAGGGUGAUCAGCCACACUGGAACUGAGACACGGUCCAGACCCCUACGGGAGGCAGCAGUAGGGAAUCUUCCGCAAUGGGCGAAAGCCUGACGGAGCAACGCCGCGUGAGUGAUGAAGGUCUUCGGAUCGUAAAACUCUGUUACUAGGGAAGAACAAAUGUGUAAGUAACUAUGCACGUCUUGACGGUACCUAAUCAGAAAGCCACGGCUAACUACGU